Molecule: long non-coding RNA, 2403 nt
Organism: Fundulus heteroclitus (mummichog)
Lineage: Eukaryota; Metazoa; Chordata; Actinopteri; Cyprinodontiformes; Fundulidae
Exons: 3
Source: RefSeq, a predicted model, not a curated record
UUUCGUUUGAAUCACUUUUUUUUUUUUGAAGAUCAAAAAGUUUUGAAGUUCAAAUUUUUUCGAUUGAAUCAUUUUGGAACAAACGUACUGUGGUGGGCGGGUGCUUCUCUAUUGGUCAGACAUGUUUGAUUGACAAGUGUCUACACCGACGACGUCUUUCUGACAAAGAAGUCAUGUUCGCCACUCCCCAGGCCAGACAGCUUUUUACCAGCAAGCCAGGGAGCAGCGGUGAAGUUCUCGGGCGGAGUGGCAGACCAUCUAUUGUUACCAGAGAGCACAUAGACGUACUUAUGAAGCAAGGACAUACAAUAAAAAAAAGGCAAAAAUGAUCGGAUGUUCCUCGUCGUUUUUGAACAACAAAUCAAAGCUGGUGGACCUACGCAUAAGAGGAAAACUGUCUGCCUUAGAUGACAAUCAGCUGCAAGAGCGUGUGAGCACAUUGCAGGACCAGUAUCCAAACUCUGGGAAUGAGAUGAUAAGGGUGCUGCUUCGUGCUCAAGGUGUGAUUGUCACACGGGCCAGGGUACGCUAAAUGUUGGGAUGGACAAACCUGACAUCUGCUGCAAGAGUUUCGGUCUUUUGAGUUGGAGGAUUUUUCACCCUCCUCAUCCCCGGCGGUGUAGGAAGGUUUUUGUGGAGCCAAGCAGGCCAGACUCUGAUCAAUUUGACCUGCUGGCUCAAGGCCCUGACUCAGUGAAGCCACAGCCUGGCGCUGCAGAGUCAAAUGGUGGACAGAAUUGGUCCUGUAUAUAUUAUCAUGUAUCAGAAUCAACAUAUAUUUCCUGCUUUAUAACCCAGGCGGGAUCACUGGCAGCUUUGUGCAUAAUGAUUCAUUUGUAAUGUGGACACAGCCCCAGAUCACCCUCUCUGUAUCGUCUCAAACAGCAGGCAGAUACCGCAGAUCGCCCAUGUCCAAUGUCCAACCUAGAAUCAACAUCACAGUCUCACAGCAGCCCCUUGCCGGCCGCCUCAAGACACUAACUGCAGAACAAUUGAUUGCUUUCACAUACACUCCCCAACAACACAUAAAAAGUUGGUAAAUUUGUUUUUUGAAGAUAAAAAAGGUCGCUAGAGAGUUUGAAAAGUGCAAUAGUGCUCUCUAUGGAGGCACAAGAAGAUGCUCUAUUUUUUUGUUUUGUUUUUUAAGACUGAGCUGGCUUUUAUAGUCCUGAGCAGCCAGGGGACCAAUGUCACACACUCAGAUUUACGUUGCACGUGCAGAAACUAAUGUUAAUUUGAAAUUCAAUGCAAGAAGUUUGACCCUAGGAAGGCGCCAUACUGAGUUUUGGACACAAAAGCCGGAUUUCAACAAAUAUGCAUUAUAAUUUUUCAAAAAUAAUGACCAGGAUAUGUAGAAAGUACUAUAAAACAACCAUGUUAAGAGUUUAUUGGCAACAAACAGCUGAUUUGGGGAAGAGUUACACUUUAACAGAAUUUAGCAACCUAGACACCAGGCUUUUCCAUAUUUGUUAAGCCUCCUAUCUGGGAUACCCUCCAGGUUGAUAUCAGUAGCUCUUUAAGUUCUAUUGUUGAGUUAUUGUGCUCUGAAUUGCUUUUUACAGAAAAUUAUCAAAUGAAACAAUAUAGUGACCUUGAGUGUUUUUCCAGCAAUGAAUAUAUAACUUUGUCUUUUUGAAGAUUGAUAAUGUUGAUUUUUAGCACUAGGUGAUAACGUGUUUCAAAUAUUUGCUGAUAUACUAAUUCAAUUAUUCAUAAUUUCAGCAAAAAAUGUUGAAACCGUUGAUUUAUUUCUAAUACGGGUUUUCUGAUCAUUAUCGUAUAUUGUCUCCAGGUAGGGGGUUGUAUCCUUAUUUUAAGUACUAAUUUUAUUUUGUGUUGUUUCAACUUUCUAGAUGGGGCUUUGUGAUACAUGGUGCCAUCGAUGGACACUCGUGUCGGAUUACCUCAGCUGCAGCAUAAACAAUAGGGCAACAACAGUACUCUGUCAGUUUUUGAAAGCAACAUCUUACUAUGGACUACCAUCAAGAGUCAGAUCAGACCAUGGGGAUGAAAACAUGCUGCUUGCUUUAUGCAUGCAUCUAGUUCAAGGGCUGGAACACAGAGGCUUCAUAACAGGACAAUCAGUUCAUAAUCAGCGCAUAGAACACCUUUGGCAGGAUGUAUUUUUGCAUGUGCUGCAGCAUUUCUACCAUACAUUCUACUGUCUGGAGGACGCAGAGAAUCUUAACCCAGAUAAUGAUAUCCACAGACUUUCUUUACAUAUUGUAUAUCCACCUGAGAUUCAAAGGAGGCUGGAACAGUUCAGACAGGCUUGUACCACCAUGGUUUGCCCACAGAAAGUAAUCAUACAGCAGCUCGUCUGUAAUUCUCAUUCAGAAUACAUUUGACAAUUAUUGACAUUUAAUCAUUCUUUUGCACAUUGCCAUUAUCACUUUAUUUUAG